GAACUGCGAAUGGCUCAUUAAAUCAGUUAUAAUUUAUUUGAUGGAUAAAGAUAUGGAUAACCGUAGUAAUUCUAUAGCUAAUACAUGCGAGAGUGCCCGCCUCACGGUGGGCUGUAUUUAUUAUAUAAUGCCACCAUAUGGUGAAUCAUAAUAACCUAACGAAUCGCAGCUUUGCUGCGAUAUAUCAUUCAAGUAUCUGCCCUAUCAGCUUUGAUGGUAGUGUAUUGGACUACCAUGGCGUUAACGGGUAACGGAUAAUUAGGGUUCGGUUCCGGAGAGGGAGCCUGAGAAACGGCUACCACAUCUAAGGAAGGCAGCAGGCGCGUAAAUUACCCAAUCCUGACUCAGGGAGGUACUGACAACAAAUAUC
This 370-nucleotide ribosomal RNA is filed under the name uncultured eukaryote. RNAcentral's name for it is "bacterial SSU rRNA". It matches the Rfam family "Eukaryotic small subunit ribosomal RNA", at positions 84 to 481 of the family's 1831-position model. The record is from RNAcentral.